UACGUAGGGUGCGAGCGUUGUCCGGAAUUAUUGGGCGUAAAGGGCUCGUAGGCGGUUUGUCGCGUCGGGAGUGAAAACCUCGGGCUUAACUCGGGGCUUGCUUUCGAUACGGGCAGACUAGAGGUAUGCAGGGGAGAACGGAAUUCCUGGUGUAGCGGUGAAAUGCGCAGAUAUCAGGAGGAACACCGAUGGCGAAGGCAGCUCGCUGGGACGGUACUGACGCUGAGGCGCGAAAGUGUGGGGAGCGAACAGG
Molecule: ribosomal RNA, 253 nt
Filed under: uncultured bacterium
Lineage: Bacteria
Description: partial 16S ribosomal RNA
Rfam family: Bacterial small subunit ribosomal RNA
Source: RNAcentral